AUUGAACGCUGGCGGCAGGCCUAACACAUGCAAGUCGAGCGGAUGAAGGGAGCUUGCUCCUGGCUUCAGCGGCGGACGGGUGAGUAAUGCCUAGGAAUCUGCCUGGUAGUGGGGGAUAACGUCCGGAAACGGGCGCUAAUACCGCAUACGUCCUGAGGGAGAAAGUGGGGGAUCUUCGGACCUCACGCUAUCAGAUGAGCCUAGGUCGGAUUAGCUAGUUGGUGGGGUAAAGGCCUACCAAGGCGACGAUCCGUAACUGGUCUGAGAGGAUGAUCAGUCACACUGGAACUGAGACACGGUCCAGACUCCUACGGGAGGCAGCAGUAGGGAAUAUUGGACAAUGGGCGAAAGCCUGAUCCAGCCAUGCCGCGUGUGUGAAGAAGGUCUUCGGAUUGUAAAGCACUUUAAGUUGGGAGGAAGGGCAGUAAGUUAAUACCUUGCUGUUUUGACGGUACCAACAGAAUAAGCACCGGCUAACUUCGUG
This 484-nucleotide ribosomal RNA is filed under the name uncultured bacterium. RNAcentral describes it as "partial 16S ribosomal RNA". It matches the Rfam family "Bacterial small subunit ribosomal RNA", at positions 30 to 507 of the family's 1533-position model. The record is from RNAcentral.